Molecule: ribosomal RNA, 253 nt
Filed under: uncultured bacterium
Lineage: Bacteria
Description: partial 16S ribosomal RNA
Rfam family: Bacterial small subunit ribosomal RNA
Source: RNAcentral
UACGAAGGAGGCUAGCGUUGCUCGGAAUCACUGGGCGUAAAGCGCACGUAGGCGGAUCUUUAAGUCAGGGGUGAAAUCCUGGAGCUCAACUCCAGAACUGCCUUUGAUACUGGGGAUCUCGAGUCCGGAAGAGGUGAGUGGAACUCCGAGUGUAGAGGUGAAAUUCGUAGAUAUUCGGAAGAACACCAGUGGCGAAGGCGGCUCACUGGUCCGGUACUGACGCUGAGGUGCGAAAGCGUGGGGAGCAAACAGG